RNAcentral lists this ribosomal RNA (253 nucleotides) under uncultured bacterium. RNAcentral's name for it is "partial 16S ribosomal RNA". It matches the Rfam family "Bacterial small subunit ribosomal RNA", at positions 524 to 776 of the family's 1533-position model. The record is from RNAcentral.
UACGUAGGGGGCUAGCGUUGUCCGGAUUUAUUGGGCGUAAAGAGCGUGUAGGCGGCCUGGUAGGUCUGCUGUGAAAACUCGAGGCUCAACCUCGAGAUGUCGGCGGAAACCAUCUGGCUAGAGUCCGGAAGAGGAGAGUGGAAUUCCUGGUGUAGCGGUGAAAUGCGCAGAUAUCAGGAAGAACACCUAUGGCGAAGGCGGCUCUCUGGGACGGUACUGACGCUGAGACGCGAAAGCGUGGGGAGCGAACAGG